UACAUGUGGGGCAAGCGUUGUUCGGAAUUACUGGGCAUAAAGGGUGCGUAGGCGGCAUGUUAAGUCAGGGGUGAAAUCCCACGGCCCAACCGUGGAACUGCCUUUGAUACUGGCGUGCUUGAGUGCGUGAGGGGUAACCGGAACGAGUCGUGUAGCGGUGAAAUGCGUAGAUAUGACUCGGAAGGCCAAAGGCGAAGGCAGGUUACUGGUACGCAACUGACGCUGAGGCACGAAAGCGUGGGGAGCAAACAGGAUUAGAUCCCCUGGUAGUCCACGCCGUAAACGAUGAGCACUAGGUCGAUGCCACGCUACGUGGUGUCGGCCGCAGACAAUUUAUUAAGUGCUCCGCCUGGGGAGUAUGGUCGCAAGGCUGAA
RNAcentral lists this ribosomal RNA (375 nucleotides) under uncultured bacterium. RNAcentral's name for it is "bacterial SSU rRNA". It matches the Rfam family "Bacterial small subunit ribosomal RNA", at positions 524 to 898 of the family's 1533-position model. The record is from RNAcentral.